Long non-coding RNA from Centrocercus urophasianus (Greater sage-grouse), 617 nucleotides. RefSeq lists it as uncharacterized. The transcript has 3 exons. The record is from RefSeq and is a predicted model, not a curated record. Lineage: Eukaryota; Metazoa; Chordata; Aves; Galliformes; Phasianidae.
GUGGGUGCUGGAGGUGCUUUCCUAGCCGUUCCAAGCUUUUCAGGCAGCAUCAUACAGGAGUGUGAGAUUAUGCCCUCUGCUGAGCAAUACGUAUGUGCCCUGAAUCUAUCUGAGCCAGGGUAGAGGACCUCAGAAGGAGGAAUCCCAGCAACCAUUCAACUGCAGAAGAUCUCUUGGAAACCCAUAUUUCCCUAAACCUGAGGAAAACAAUUUUUUAAUGUGAAUGUUGCCCUGAGGAGAGUUAAAGCAAACAAAACUGUACAACUGCACAUAAUUCGUAUGUUAAGAAGAUUAAUUUUCUGGAACAACAUGGUAACUGGCAAAUCAGAAUCACUAUGCUGAGCUACUAUUUUCAUCACAAGUAAAAGCAAAAACCGAGAGCAGUUGAUGCAGUUGGAGUGCUAUCAGUGGAGAAUGCAAAUCUACUUCUUAUAUUACUAAUUUACUUUGUAUUCAUGAUUUAGAAUUUUCUGAUGAAUCUUUCUGUCACAUCAUCCAUCACAGACUGUCACUAGAGAGACGGAAGAUAGAAAAAUUAAAAACCUGCUUGUUACUGUAAGCUAAACAGCAUGAACAACAUCCAUCAAAGACAGAAAAAUGGUAAAUAAAAAAGUGCU